ACAUAAACAACUUAUUGUUUUUGUCCAAAUCAACACGAGAUCUGAAUAACAACACUAUACUAUUGUGAGAGUGAUGCAUGCAACGUGUAACUAAGAAAAUUCAGCAACGGAUUGAGAAAUCCGGGUGGGAAUAAGGUUGGCAGCUUAGAAAAUUAAGCAGCUGCUUGCGAUGAACGGAACCCACGCACGACAACCCAUGAGAAAUUGCUUGCGUGCAGUCUGGCAACUCUUGAUGAUCUCUGCCGAAUGAUGAGAAAUGCACCCACCAGAUGUUUUCUGAUAAAUAACCUGGGUGACAGUGCCCUUUCUGAGUCCCAAAAGAUGACAUAAGGUUUCUAUAUGCUCAUCCUCCAAUAAUUGAAUUAAAACCGGCAAGUUACAGAAGUCACCUUUUGGAUGCUACAGAAGAUUCGGAAAGGACCAUCAAUAAUCCAUUGACAAUCUAGGAUUGUAGAGGGGUAUCUGCUUCACUUACAAGUGUUAGAUUUAAUAUGAGGCUUUGAGCACCGCACGACGAAAUAAUCCGUUCCUGAGACAUAGUUUAAUAAUAAGAAAAUAAUUUCAUGUACCAAACCCAUCUAUAGAGAGAGAGAUCAGCCUUGUCAAAAAAAAAAAAAAAACAAAAACAAAAACAAAAACAAACAAAACAAAAGGAGAGGGGAAGGGAGGGGGAGAUCGGCCUCAGACCCAUGGCACAAGUUGCCAAAAUCUCGCAAUCGGACCUUGUUUACAAGCAUUGUAGCAAUUAGGUAGGUCAUGCACUUCACCACAAGGAAC
RNAcentral lists this long non-coding RNA (777 nucleotides) under Elaeis guineensis (African oil palm). Its description in RNAcentral is "long non-coding RNA (EGUI_LNC016740)". Lineage: Eukaryota; Viridiplantae; Streptophyta; Magnoliopsida; Arecales; Arecaceae. The record is from RNAcentral.